This 1284-nucleotide ribosomal RNA is filed under the name Streptomyces sp. RNAcentral's name for it is "bacterial SSU rRNA". It matches the Rfam family "Bacterial small subunit ribosomal RNA", at positions 80 to 1367 of the family's 1533-position model. The record is from RNAcentral. Lineage: Bacteria; Bacillati; Actinomycetota; Actinomycetes; Kitasatosporales; Streptomycetaceae.
UCGGUGGUGGAUUAGUGGCGAACGGGUGAGUAACACGUGGGCAAUCUGCGCUUCACUCUGGGACAAGCCCUGGAAACGGGGUCUAAUACCGGAUAAUACUCCUGCCUGCAUGGGUGGGGGUUGAAAGCUCCGGCGGUGAAGGAUGAGCCCGCGGCCUAUCAGCUUGUUGGUGGGGUAAUGGCCUACCAAGGCGACGACGGGUAGCCGGCCUGAGAGGGCGACCGGCCACACUGGGACUGAGACACGGCCCAGACUCCUACGGGAGGCAGCAGUGGGGAAUAUUGCACAAUGGGCGAAAGCCUGAUGCAGCGACGCCGCGUGAGGGAUGACGGCCUUCGGGUUGUAACCCUCUUUCAGCAGGGAAGAAGCGCAAGUGACGGUACCUGCAGAAGAAGCGCCGGCUAACUACGUGCCAGCAGCCGCGGUAAUACGUAGGGCGCAAGCGUUGUCCGGAAUUAUUGGGCGUAAAGAGCUCGUAGGCGGCUUGUCACGUCGGAUGUGAAAGCCCGGGGCUUAACCCCGGGUCUGCAUUCGAUACGGGCUAGCUAGAGUGUGGUAGGGGAGAUCGGAAUUCCUGGUGUAGCGGUGAAAUGCGCAGAUAUCAGCAGGAACACCGGUGGCGAAGGCGGAUCUCUGGGCCAUUACUGACGCUGAGGAGCGAAAGCGUGGGGGAGCGAACAGGAUUAGAUACCCUGGUAGUCCACGCCGUAAACGUUGGGAACUAGGUGUUGGCGACAUUCCACGUCGUCGGUGCCGCAGCUAACGCAUUAAGUUCCCCGCCUGGGGGAGUACGGGCGCAAGGCUAAAACUCAAAGGAAUUGAACGGGGGCCUCGCACAAGCAGCGGAGCAUGUGGCUUAAUUAGACGCAACGCGAAGAACCUUACCAAGGCUUGACAUAUUCCGGAAAGCAUCAGAGAUGGUGCCCCCCUUGUGGUCGGUAUACAGGUGGUGCAUGGCUGUCGUCAGCUCGUGUCGUGAGAUGUUGGGUUAAGUCCCGCAACGAGCGCAACCCUUGUUCUGUGUUGCCAGCAUGCCUUUCGGGGUGAUGGGGACUCACAGGAGACUGCCGGGGUCAACUCGGAGGAAGGUGGGGACGACGUCAAGUCAUCAUUCCCCUUAUGUCUUGGGCUGCACACGUGCUACAAUGGCCGGUACAAUGAGCUGCGAUGCCGUGAGGCGGAGCGAAUCUCAAAAAGCCGGUCUCAGUUCGGAUUGGGGUCUGCAACUCGACCCCAUGAAGUCGGAGUUGCUAGUAAUCGCAGAUCAGCAUUGCUGCGGUGAAU